RNAcentral lists this ribosomal RNA (1431 nucleotides) under uncultured organism. Its description in RNAcentral is "SSU rRNA". It matches the Rfam family "Bacterial small subunit ribosomal RNA". The record is from RNAcentral.
AACACAUGCAAGUCGAGGGGCAUCAGGAAGAAAGCUUGCUUUCUUUGCUGGCGACCGGCGCACGGGUGAGUAACACGUAUCCAACCUGCCCUUUACUCGGGGAUAGCCUUUCGAAAGAAAGAUUAAUACCCGAUAGCAUAAUGAUUCCGCAUGGUUUCAUUAUUAAAGGAUUCCGGUAAAGGAUGGGGAUGCGUUCCAUUAGGUUGUUGGUGAGGUAACGGCCCACCAAGCCUUCGAUGGAUAGGGGUUCUGAGAGGAAGGUCCCCCACAUUGGAACUGAGACACGGUCCAAACUCCUACGGGAGGCAGCAGUGAGGAAUAUUGGUCAAUGGGCGCUAGCCUGAACCAGCCAAGUAGCGUGAAGGAUGAAGGCUCUAUGGGUCGUAAACUUCUUUUAUAUAAGAAUAAAGUGCAGUAUGUAUACUGUUUUGUAUGUAUUAUAUGAAUAAGGAUCGGCUAACUCCGUGCCAGCAGCCGCGGUAAUACGGAGGAUCCGAGCGUUAUCCGGAUUUAUUGGGUUUAAAGGGAGCGUAGGUGGACUGGUAAGUCAGUUGUGAAAGUUUGCGGCUCAACCGUAAAAUUGCAGUUGAUACUGUCAGUCUUGAGUACAGUAGAGGUGGGCGGAAUUCGUGGUGUAGCGGUGAAAUGCUUAGAUAUCACGAAGAACUCCGAUUGCGAAGGCAGCUCACUGGACUGCAACUGACACUGAUGCUCGAAAGUGUGGGUAUCAAACAGGAUUAGAUACCCUGGUAGUCCACACAGUAAACGAUGAAUACUCGCUGUUUGCGAUAUACAGUAAGCGGCCAAGCGAAAGCAUUAAGUAUUCCACCUGGGGAGUACGCCGGCAACGGUGAAACUCAAAGGAAUUGACGGGGGCCCGCACAAGCGGAGGAACAUGUGGUUUAAUUCGAUGAUACGCGAGGAACCUUACCCGGGCUUAAAUUGCAGUGGAAUGAUGUGGAAACAUGUCAGUGAGCAAUCACCGCUGUGAAGGUGCUGCAUGGUUGUCGUCAGCUCGUGCCGUGAGGUGUCGGCUUAAGUGCCAUAACGAGCGCAACCCUUAUCUUUAGUUACUAACAGGUUAUGCUGAGGACUCCAGAGAGACUGCCGUCGUAAGAUGUGAGGAAGGUGGGGAUGACGUCAAAUCAGCACGGCCCUUACGUCCGGGGCUACACACGUGUUACAAUGGGGGGUACAGAAGGCAGCUAGCGGGUGACCGUAUGCUAAUCCCAAAAUCCUCUCUCAGUUCGGAUCGAAGUCUGCAACCCGACUUCGUGAAGCUGGAUUCGCUAGUAAUCGCGCAUCAGCCACGGCGCGGUGAAUACGUUCCCGGGCCUUGUACACACCGCCCGUCAAGCCAUGGGAGCCGGGGGUACCUGAAGUACGUAACCGCAAGGAUCGUCCUAGGGUAAAACUGGUGACUGGGGCUAA